UACGUAGGGCGCAAGCGUUGUCCGGAAUUAUUGGGCGUAAAGAGCUCGUAGGCGGUUUGUCGCGUCUGCUGUGAAAACCUAAGGCUCAACCUUGGGCUUGCAGUGGGUACGGGCAGACUAGAGUGCGGUAGGGGUGACUGGAAUUCCUGGUGUAGUGGUGAAAUGCGCAGAUAUCAGGAAGAACACCAAUGGCGAAAGCAGCUCUCUGGGACGGUACUGACGCUGAGACGCGAAAGCGUGGGGAGCGAACAGG
This 253-nucleotide ribosomal RNA is filed under the name uncultured bacterium. RNAcentral's name for it is "partial 16S ribosomal RNA". It matches the Rfam family "Bacterial small subunit ribosomal RNA", at positions 524 to 776 of the family's 1533-position model. The record is from RNAcentral.